This 97-nucleotide small RNA is filed under the name Sinorhizobium meliloti 2011. Its description in RNAcentral is "putative ncRNA". Lineage: Bacteria; Pseudomonadati; Pseudomonadota; Alphaproteobacteria; Hyphomicrobiales; Rhizobiaceae. The record is from RNAcentral.
AAUCGGAGUCGACUUGUGAAAAAAUACAGCAAUGCAAAACGUUAAGUGUCCCUAACCUGCAUGAAAGACACGCGCGGCGCUGUAGUUGACACGUCUU